Lepisosteus oculatus (spotted gar) is the source of this 119-nucleotide ribosomal RNA. Lineage: Eukaryota; Metazoa; Chordata; Actinopteri; Semionotiformes; Lepisosteidae. The record is from Ensembl.
GCCAGCAGCCAUAUCACCCUGCAACUCACAACUGGCCACCCACUAAAGCUAAGCAGGUGUGAGACUGGUCAGUACCUGGAUAGGAGACCUCCUGGGAAAAACUAAAGUUGCUGCUGGAA